AGCUGGCCCCUCCCAGCACCAGGCCCUUAUAAUGGCCCGUCUGUCGCCUUCCAGGCAGGUUGGGGGGUGUCAGUGUAGAUCCUCCUGUGAUCCCCAAAGGUCCCGCACCAGCUCACCGCCACAGCGCCGGGAAACAUGCAGCCGCUUUGCAGGGUGCUGGCUGUCGCUGGGGCCGUGGUGCUGCUCCUGGCCAUUGUAGCUGCUGACGAGCCCACCAGCUCUCCGGACACAACGCCCCCUGCCGGGGGCCAGGAACCAGAGCCCGUCAGCCGUGGCAAACUGGAGGCAUCGGGAGACAGGGUGACCCCGGUGAGCCUCGGGGGAGCCGAGCGGUCGCUCACUGACGACACGCACCCAGGCGGCCUGGACGGGGACUCGGCCGGCCUCGACGCCCUCAACAGCGGCACCUUUAACCUGGACCCCCUGGCUGGGGACGCCCAAAGCGGUCCGGCGGGGGACGUGCCUGCUCAGUCCAACGAGUCGCAAGAGAGUGUGGACCACGACACCGACUCGGAGGAGGCCCUGGCAUCUCAAGGGAUGUGAGGGGCAGGGUCCCACGCCGGAGCUGCCACGGAGCCCCCAUGGACAGCAGCUUCCUGCCUUCCGCCAAACCUUCUCGCUCCCCGUCCCUGGCACCGCCCGGGUCUCGCUCUGCACCUGCCCCCCUGUCCUGCAGCCGGGAGCCUUCGGGAGUCCUGCGGCUCGCAAGUCCCUGCCCCCCACUCCCCACGGUGCGGCCCCUCGGCUGGGGCAAACCAGCAAGCCGCACGGAGCGACCCCCGCGGGGGAUCCGACCCAGCCCCUCCAGCUGGGAGACGGGCCCGAGACCCCCCAUUGGCCCAGCCUCCCGCUUUCCGAGAGCUGCUGGUAGGCCGCCCGGCUGAGCAGCCGACAUCCCCCGCCCCAGCCCCACAACGGCUCCCCCAGAGCCCCGGGGUCCCGGCGGGGUGGCACCUUGGCCAAGGCCUCACUGCUGCAGCGGGCAGGGCGGGAGCGCAGGCUCCAGGCAGCUCGGCUGCUCCAGUCCCCGACUCUCCCAGGGGAGGUGCUGCUCUGCCGGAGCACCCAGCCUCCGCAGUCCCACAUCCCAGCCUCUCCCAGCAGGAAUCCCAGGGGCUCCAGGGGUCGCCCCUCUGCCGACGGUGCCCAUGAGCCCCAGCAAGUGCCUUCCCAGCAUGGGUCCGGCCAGGGCCCCUGGCGGGAAGCUGGGUGCAUGGCGUUAUCACAGAGCCGGGCACUGGCCAGGGGCCUCAUCUAGUGCCCCGGGCAGACCUGGAACUGUCCUACUGCUCUCUGGCCCUCGUGGAGAAGGGGCACCUCCUACAUCUGCUUGGCGAGGGGCAGGAGACCUUGGUGUCUGCCUUAGGGGCCGGGGUUUCUGGGCUCAGCUGGGCGCUGGCCUGGCCCAUGACAGCCUGCAGGAGAUGCACCGGCUUUGCCGCUGCCCCCCAGCCGAGUGGACCCCCCCCGGCUGGAGCUAACAGCUCUCGCCGCUUUGCUGCUGACCCCGUGAGAGCUCCCAGCGCCGCUGUCCCCUGUAUUCCUGCCACUGCUUACCCUGCCAAUAAAAA
This 1571-nucleotide long non-coding RNA is filed under the name Chrysemys picta bellii (western painted turtle). RNAcentral describes it as "lncRNA (ENSCPBG00000018891.1)". The record is from RNAcentral. Lineage: Eukaryota; Metazoa; Chordata; Testudines; Emydidae.